Molecule: ribosomal RNA, 394 nt
Filed under: Desulfobacula sp.
Lineage: Bacteria; Pseudomonadati; Thermodesulfobacteriota; Desulfobacteria; Desulfobacterales; Desulfobacteraceae
Description: partial 23S ribosomal RNA
Rfam family: Bacterial large subunit ribosomal RNA
Source: RNAcentral
CACAUCCUGGGACUGGAGCAGGUCCCAAGGGUUUGGCUGUUCGCCAAUUAAAGUGGUACGUGAGCUGGGUUUAAAACGUCGUGAGACAGUUUGGUCCCUAUCUUUCGUGGGCGCAGGAUAUUUGAGGAGAUCUGAUCCUAGUACGAGAGGACCGGAUUGGACCAACCAAUGGUGUUCCAGUUGUCGCGCCAGCGGCAUUGCUGGGUAGCUAAGUUGGGUAUGGAUAACCGCUGAAAGCAUCUAAGCGGGAAGCCAACUUCAAGAUAAGAUAUCCCAUCUAUUUAUAGACUAAAGACCCCUUGAAGACUACAAGGUUGAUAGGCCAGGUGUGUAAGCACAGUAAUGUGUUCAGCUAACUGGUACUAAUAGGUCGUGAGGCUUAGCCACUUCCUCC